AGGGGCGUAGCCAAGCGGUAAGGCAGCAGGUUUUGAUCCUGCCAUGCGUUGGUUCGAGUCCAGCCGCCCCUGCCA
RNAcentral lists this transfer RNA (75 nucleotides) under Ventosimonas gracilis. Its description in RNAcentral is "tRNA-Gln". It matches the Rfam family "tRNA". Rfam says of the family: Transfer RNA (tRNA) molecules are approximately 80 nucleotides in length. Their secondary structure includes four short double-helical elements and three loops (D, anti-codon, and T loops). Further hydrogen bonds mediate the characteristic L-shaped molecular structure. tRNAs have two regions of fundamental functional importance: the anti-codon, which is responsible for specific mRNA codon recognition, and the 3' end, to which the tRNAs corresponding amino acid is attached (by aminoacyl-tRNA synthetases). tRNAs cope with the degeneracy of the genetic code in two manners: having more than one tRNA (with a specific anti-codon) for a particular amino acid; and 'wobble' base-pairing, i.e. permitting non-standard base-pairing at the 3rd anti-codon position. The record is from RNAcentral. Lineage: Bacteria; Pseudomonadati; Pseudomonadota; Gammaproteobacteria; Pseudomonadales; Ventosimonadaceae.